CAACACUGUCGCUACAGUCCCAUUAGUUAUCUUUGCAGCACUGUUUGAAUGUCGCGGUUGCGCACAUUUGUACGGAAUGGGUUGAGUUUACGUUAGUUCAAUAGUAAUAUCCUCUACAACGAUCUGGUGACAAACAAACUUUACUGCCCUGUUUCCAAUUUUCCACAUGGCUAGGAGAACCUAUUCGAGUAAGUAAAUACAUUUCUAAAAUGUAAAAAAGUAUUUAUUAUUAGCUAAUUAGCUAUGGUGCAGGCUAACUCAAAUGAGCUGCUAAAUGAGCUAGCUAGUUGGCUAGCUAGCUACCCAGCCAACUUCACAUACUGUAUAGAUAGCUAGCUAAGUGAAUGAAAUAUCACCAUCUACCUAACUUAAUAUUAGCUAGCUAUCUUGAUAUAUUUAUCACUGUAAAAAACAAACUCAAAAUGCAUUUGUAUGUAGCUAGCUAACAGCCAUGGAGGAGGGUGAAAAGAUAACAACCCCAACUGUCAGUGAGAGAGUAGGCUAUUCUAGAUAGGGCAGGUACUUUUGUGUAGUUCCUGUCCCUAGAUGUGAGGAUGGAGAUAAUAGCAACAUAAUAUUCGGUGUGGUGUAAUUUGACUAUAAUGAAGUCUGUUUCUUGUGAGGUUUUCUGUCCUCAGAUAAAGAGAGCUAUGAAAGCCAGUCUACAUAUGAAGAGGUCCCAAUGAAGAGCAGUGGUUCUCUGUCCUGGUCCUGGGGACUCAAAGGGAUACCUUGUAAUUGGAGAUUCCUUCAAAACCAUUGCCUACAGUUAACGUAUAGGGCACUGCAAGGUUGGGUGACCAGGGCCAUCUGAGACGAAUUCACGUGUGUGAAGGCUACCUGUGUCCUGCAUAACUUCAUGAGGAUGGAUACGAGGACCAGGAGGGGAUCUGCAGAUUGCCGCCGUGUGCCAGAGAAGUGCUGCUGAGAAGUGCAUGCUGCUCUGCAGGAUGUUUCAAGGUUGGGGUCCAACAACGCAGCAAGAGAGGCAAUCCAUGUGCUGGAGCUCGUCACCUCCUACUUCUUCAAAGAGGGUGCUGUUCCUUGGCAACACCAUAGACUACACUAUGCACAACCAAAGGCUAUUUUAAGAGCCAUUCACAUUGCAAUAAGAGUAUUCUUCCAUUUACUUAGCUAUGUCAACUGCAGUUAUUCAAUUCCCAGUUUCUCCCUUUGAUUUCUACUUCUCAGGUGAGGGUGCUGUUUGGGUAAGGGUGUGAUGUCUGUACAAAAACAAAACAGGCUAUUUUAAAUCACCCAUAUUGAAAGAAAUGUAGAACAAUUAGACACCCUAUAAGCCAUACCUACACACUCAUAAGCAGGCUCAGGUAUAUAACUGUGGCUCCUUCCACCUUCAAAGAAAAGGUAAGAGGGCCAACCAUCAGAAUAAUAAAGCACGUCAUUAUUUCUAUUACCACGAUAUUUUGUUUGUCCUCAUGUGUCCAUUCCUAAAGUACUCUGCAGCCACUUAGUGUAGUGUGGACACCAGGUGAGGCCGCACACAUAGAUUCCUGUUGAACACUGUCUUUUUAACUACCUUAUUUUCUCAAUAACAGUCUCUCGCCAACCCCCGGUCCCAUCACCGCUACCUCACCCACUUUUAAGAUAACCUUCGGGCCGAUUAGAGACACUAUUAUGUAAUUGUGAUGAACUGAGAGAAUAUUUGGGUAGCACUGAUUCAAUAAUCAUAUCCCUGCUCCUAUGUUCUUACCUCUUUCCCUUUCUGUCUUUUACACCUCCCUCACCACCUACUCUUUCUUCCUCUGUUUUUAUAAUUCACAACAGAUGUGCAUUGAAGUACAGAUUGAACUUGUAUUUAUAAUAUUACAAUUAUAAUAUUAAUGCAUGUAUUUAUAGCACUUAGAUAUGAACUUCUUUAAUAAAGUGUUUCACAUUCUCUA
Salvelinus fontinalis (brook trout) is the source of this 1901-nucleotide long non-coding RNA. RefSeq lists it as uncharacterized. The record is from RefSeq and is a predicted model, not a curated record. The transcript has 2 exons. Lineage: Eukaryota; Metazoa; Chordata; Actinopteri; Salmoniformes; Salmonidae.